UUGUUAGUUUAUUUCAAACAUUCAUAAUCAAAAUCAAUAUUUAAUAGUUGGACAUUUUAGGAUGUUGGAAUAUAAGUUGAAAUUGUAUUUCAAAAUUUGUAUUGUAACUUUUGCUUUAUUUGGAGCUUUCAAUAUAGAUAGUUUCUCUGAAACAAGAUACUAGUCAAUUAAAAGAACAAAUCAACCAGAUUACUGGGGUUCAAAAAAUGUCAGGCUAACUGACCAAAUUAAUACAGAGACUAUAAUUACAUAUACACUAUACUGUACAUCCUUUGCUGAAGCCACUGGAGUUAUUAAUAACACUUACAUUGUUACCACUUUUUAAAAUUUAUAUCAUUGCUUCAACUAAAGUAGAGAUAGAGUCAUUCUCUCCCAUUUUCCUCUCAUUUGUGCCACCUUCAUACCAGAUUAAGUUGUCAUCUCCUUGGGUUUUUUUAAGAGCUGAAGAUUUUUUUAGAAAAGGAUUAGCUCUGAAAUUCUAGUACUGUGCAAGUCAAAGUCCUGUCGUGAAGACUGAUUUAUAUUUUGUUUUAGAUUUGUGAAAGCAAUUAGGGAUUGGGCUGGUGCAAGCUGACAGCAUAGAACCUUAUAAGAUACUAUUUCAGAAGCAAAUCAACCUGACUGUGGAACACCACAAAGUGUAAAUGAUAUUCUGGAUCCCUUCACAAUUCAUGGAUCUCUUAGGCACAUCACAUAGCUUUGGAAACUUGUGUUCUUUCUUGGGGCAUUGACUGUGAUUAGUAAUGAAUCCUUUCCUCCUGUUUUUUGGAAGUAAGGAAGAGCUGCUGCUUCCCUAUGUUACUGAAAUAAUAAAAAUCACUUUUUAUGGUACAUUCUUGGUGUUUUAAAGACUUAGGGAAUAACCUCUUAAACCAUUCAUUAGUUUUUUGACUGAUGAAAAUCUUUAGCACUUUAUUUAUUUAUUUAUUUAUAGAAAAGUGGGACCCAUGGUGCAGGGACUUCUGAUGGGGGAGGACUGACAAUGAGCAGGCUUCAAGCGUUUAUUAUAUAGGUUUUUAUAAUAAUGGGAUUCAUUGUGAGAAAGUUACUUUAAAACAGAGCCAAGGUCAAUUGUUAGAAC
RNAcentral lists this long non-coding RNA (1081 nucleotides) under Marmota monax (woodchuck). The record is from RNAcentral. Lineage: Eukaryota; Metazoa; Chordata; Mammalia; Rodentia; Sciuridae.